GUGCUGGCUUUGGCAGCACAUAUACUAAAAUUGGAACAACACAGAGAAGAUUGACAUGGCCCCUGCACAAGGAUAGAAGAUGUGGAGAAGUAGGAACACUCCUU
RNAcentral lists this small nuclear RNA (104 nucleotides) under Dasypus novemcinctus (nine-banded armadillo). Lineage: Eukaryota; Metazoa; Chordata; Mammalia; Cingulata; Dasypodidae. The record is from RNAcentral.